RNAcentral lists this ribosomal RNA (667 nucleotides) under Serratia marcescens. RNAcentral describes it as "partial 23S ribosomal RNA". It matches the Rfam family "Bacterial large subunit ribosomal RNA", at positions 528 to 1197 of the family's 2925-position model. Lineage: Bacteria; Pseudomonadati; Pseudomonadota; Gammaproteobacteria; Enterobacterales; Yersiniaceae. The record is from RNAcentral.
GGCGAGGGGAGUGAAAUAGAACCUGAAACCGUGUACGUACAAGCAGUGGGAGCACCUUCGUGGUGUGACUGCGUACCUUUUGUAUAAUGGGUCAGCGACUUAUAUUUUGUAGCAAGGUUAACCGUAUAGGGGAGCCGUAGGGAAACCGAGUCUUAACUGGGCGAUUAGUUGCAAGGUAUAGACCCGAAACCCGGUGAUCUAGCCAUGGGCAGGUUGAAGGUUGGGUAACACUAACUGGAGGACCGAACCGACUAAUGUUGAAAAAUUAGCGGAUGACUUGUGGCUGGGGGUGAAAGGCCAAUCAAACCGGGAGAUAGCUGGUUCUCCCCGAAAGCUAUUUAGGUAGCGCCUCGUGAACUCAUCUUCGGGGGUAGAGCACUGUUUCGGCUAGGGGGCCAUCCCGGCUUACCAAACCGAUGCAAACUCCGAAUACCGAAGAAUGUUAUCACGGGAGACACACGGCGGGUGCUAACGUCCGUCGUGAAGAGGGAAACAACCCAGACCGCCAGCUAAGGUCCCAAAGUCAUGGUUAAGUGGGAAACGAUGUGGGAAGGCAUAGACAGCCAGGAUGUUGGCUUAGAAGCAGCCAUCAUUUAAAGAAAGCGUAAUAGCUCACUGGUCGAGUCGGCCUGCGCGGAAGAUGUAACGGGGCUAAACCAUGCACCGA